RNAcentral lists this ribosomal RNA (301 nucleotides) under uncultured bacterium. RNAcentral describes it as "partial 16S ribosomal RNA". It matches the Rfam family "Bacterial small subunit ribosomal RNA", at positions 509 to 807 of the family's 1533-position model. The record is from RNAcentral.
CAGCCGCCACGGUAAUACGUAGGGUGCGAGCGUUAAUCGGAAUUACUGGGCGUAAAGCGUGCGCAGGCGGUUAUAUAAGACAGAUGUGAAAUCCCCGGGCUCAACCUGGGACCUGCAUUUGUGACUGUAUAGCUAGAGUACGGUAGAGGGGGACGGAAUUCCGCGUGUAGCAGUGAAAUGCGUAGAUAUGCGGAGGAACACCGAUGGCGAAGGCAAUCCCCUGGACCUGUACUGACGCUCAUGCACGAAAGCGUGGGGAGCAAACAGGAUUAGAUACCCCUGUAGUCCCUGUCUCUUAUAC